Molecule: long non-coding RNA, 1077 nt
Filed under: Bos taurus (domestic cattle)
Lineage: Eukaryota; Metazoa; Chordata; Mammalia; Artiodactyla; Bovidae
Description: long non-coding RNA NONBTAT012170
Source: RNAcentral
UGACAUUGUCUUCCAUUCAGAAACUUCUCCAGUAAGGCUUGUUGCAUGCCCUUCACUGCAGUGUUAGAAUUUAAUUAUGUAAUUGCUACACUUUUCUUGUCAAGUUAAUUGCUGGGUUUAGGCUCUGUUACCCACCCCUAUUUUUUAUUGCUUUGUGUAUUUUUUCUUACCUAGUUGAUAGUUUCCUUCAUUUUAGUGGUUUUCUAGGUUUUAAAUCCCCAAAAUUUAUUUUUUCAACUACAUGGUUUUUAGGUUAUUGUUUUAGAAUCUCCAAAAUAACAUUGUGAAUCGGUAGAUCGCUGUCUUAUUCCUGGAUUGUACAUCUCCUCAGUAUUUUUACCAUCUAAUAUUUUUGCUGUUAGUCUGUAAGUGGUCUUUAUAUUUUAGGUAUUUUUCUCUUACUGUUGAGAAAGGCUGUGGAAUUUUAUUUACUCUUUCAGCUUUUGAUAACUUUUAAAAAUAUUACAUUAAUUUGAGGUUAAUGAAUUCUUGCUUACGAUAUACAGAUUUAAUCUGCUAGUAUUUCAUUUAGGAAGUUUUGCGUUUUGUGGGUAAUUGGCUCAGUUUUUGUAACCAUUUUCUAAUUUUUAUCUCAUCUACCAGCUUUAAUGUGGAUUAAAGAGGUUUUCAUAUUCAAGUGUUAUAAUUUGAAAUCUUUAUUCAUUUGUUGAAAACUAGCUAAAUCAAUAUGUAAAGUCACCUGGCCUGUGCUUAUAGUGGUAGCUUUCUAUGGUUUGGUGUUUUUUAAUGAAUUCCCCUCCUGUAUCACCACCACUUUAAAAGAAAAUCAUCCAUUCUAGAUUUUAAUUAUAGCUGUAGAGGUAUAGGAUAUUAGUUAACCUCUUCUGUAUUAUAGUUAUAUCUUCUUAGUUCUGAUGUUGAAUACUUGUGUUUUCUAAUCAUGCUUGCCUAGAGGGUAUUAUUGGUGUUUUGAAAGAAUCAGUUUUUGGUGUUAUCAUUUCUACCACCUCUGGUAGUUUUAGCUACCAAAUGUUAAUUCUCACCGUCUGCUUUUCUCAGUUAUUUUCUAGUUAAAUACUCAAUGUAUUUUUAGUAAUAAAAGCCUUUGUAUAUACA